This 3500-nucleotide long non-coding RNA is filed under the name Haliotis rufescens (red abalone). Its description in RNAcentral is "uncharacterized LOC125380985". Lineage: Eukaryota; Metazoa; Mollusca; Gastropoda; Lepetellida; Haliotidae. The record is from RNAcentral.
GUGUAUGUUGUAUCUUGUAGAUUUAAGCGCACAAUUUCCUUUGUUUGCCAGCACAACCUAACCAGCUCGAGGUUAAAUUUAGUGAUCCUCCAAGGGAUGUCUAUCUGUGGGUACAACAUUGUGUGUAGAGGAGUCUUGUUGCUACAACUAACUUCAUCUCAUCAGCAUGUUCACAGUACAAGUAGCCAUUGAGUCCAGUAUUGCAUGAUUGUUGUUGUAAUGGAUGUCAUGAAUAUUUUUGGACUAAUGUGUCAUUCAGUGUUGACAGUUGUUUCAUGGAUUUGUUUCUUAACUAAAAUGCACUUGAUUACAUAGCACUAUGCACUUAAAACCUGAAUAUGUGUCAUGAAUUAUGAUAUGAUAUAUAUUCUUGUUGCAUACAUUGGACUCCGCAUCCUUGCAUUAUGGAUAUGAUUAACUGGGAGGAUACAAAUAACACACAGUAGUUGUCAGUUAAACAUUCAUAUUGUAACAGGCUCUGUCUGUUCGUCAUGGUUCGUUUCUGGAACAUAAUUCAUAAACUGUUCAAUAUUUCUUUGUGAAACCUUCUAUACACACCAGGCAAAUGCUCCACUGGUGUCUGUAUUCGUGAGUAUUGUCAUUUUUUAGAUUAUUGGGUUUCCAGAAUAUAACUCCUCUUCAUUAUUGCUGAAUGAAACUUUGUAUGAUCAUCAAAAUCAUACAUCAUACAAUUCUGUAGGUAUUCUGGAUUAGAAUUAUAUUCUCACGGCAAGGGAGUUAACUGACUAUAAAAGUCCAGUUUCCACCUUUGCCAAACUAGGCUGGAAUUUCAUGGACGGUCGUUGCGCCACCAGUGGCUAUUAUGAGUUCUAUCCCUUUUAUGUCCCUUGUACUGACCAAAUUUGACCUUUCAUAUCUGUUGCAUUUGCUUCAAACAAAGAAAUUCAUGACCGUAUGUCACAAGUGUAUAGCUUUUCCACUGUUAAAUGUUGGGCAUGUUUAAGGCUGGUAGAAAAUGCCUUGAUUAUACCUCUAGGUCUUGAUGUCCCUCAACUUUCAUCAAUGCAGAUAUCAUCAAGGAGUCAGAAAAACUUCUAUUGUAAGACUGAUGUAUUACCAUCGCUGAACUUGAAGAAGACACAGGUCUGAGCAAUGAAUCCAUUGAAAUCAUUAUUCAUGAACAUUUACAGAUGAAUAAGAUAUCUGCUUUUUGGGUGCCAGCAUUUCUAAAUUCUGAUCUUAAGGAUAAAAGAACUGACGUUGCCAGAGAAAAUUUAGAGCUAAUUGGGGAUUUCAUCAAAUUCAUAAAGAGAUUAGUAACAAGUGAUGAAACCUUGGUCUACCACAAUGAUCCUGAGUCAAAAAAUCAAUCCAUGGAAUUGCAUCAUUUCACUUCUCUGGCACCAAAGAAAUUCAAGUCUUCCAAGAUCAGUGAAGAAUGUUAUGGCCACUGUAUUCUGGGAUGCAAUGGGUACAAUCCUCGUCGGUUACUUAGAAUGUCGAAGGACAAAUACCAGUAACAGUGCCUACUACUGCUCAUUUGCUUCACCACCUAAGAGAUUUUAUCAAAGAAAAGCGGCGAGGAAUGCUGACUGCUGGAGUUCUACUACUUCAUGCCAAUGCCUCUUCUCGCACCUCUCGACUUGCAAAGGCUGCUGUGUGACAAUGUUGGUUCAAAGAACUUCCUCUCCCUCCAUACUCGCCAUAUCUGGUACCAAGUGAUUUCCACCUGUUUCUAAACUGAAAGAACACCUUCGUAGAAAGCCCUGUGACGACAACAAUGACCUCAAAACUGUUGUGAAUGGACUUUUCAGGCUGGCUUCAGAAAACUUCUUGCUGACUGGAAUUGAAAAGCUUCACUAUCGCUAUGAGAAGUGUAUUGAAAAGCAGAGAGAUUAUUUUGAAAAAUAAAAUUAAAAAUACUUUCACAAUUGUUGGUUUAGUUUGUUUGGCUUCAAACCUUUUGACCAGCCCUCAUAAAAGAACGGGUUUUUCAUGACAAAGUGCAUCGGAUCACUUGAGCACCUUGAUUAAAAACAUAAUAAGAUUUUUGCGUCUGUCGCCAUGUUCGUUUAUGAGUCAGAAUUUUUAUUGGACUAUGCAUGAACUUGUUAGUCCAGAAAAAUAUAACUCAGAAAUUCCAGUCUAGUUCGGUUUUUAUGGUCAAAUAACUCCCUUGCCUCAGAAAGAUAGAUUAGAAAAGCUCCCCCCCAACUGCCUUGUUGACUGGUUUGAUUGUGUCACUGCAGCUUAUGAAAUUGCUGGGAUCACCAUCAUAUGGAUUGGAUAUUGCUUAAUCAAACAAAGCAUCAUACAUUCAUACAUAAUAUAUUAUAUUUAUCUGUUAUUAUGCUUAAUAAUUUCUAAAAUAAUAUACAAUCAAAUGUGCGCCUGGCAGUAGCUCCAGCAUUAAUGAACAUAUGUGUGAUGUGUCAGUGACUGUUGCAGGUCCAUGUGUCUGGCGGUCAAUCCAGCACCAGCAUUAAUGAACGUGUGUGUGAUGUGUCAGUGACUGUUGCACGCCCAUGUGUCUGGCAGUCGCUCCAGCACCAGCGUUAAUGAACGUGUGUGUGAUGUGUCAGUGACUGUUGCACGCCCAUGUGUCUAGCAGUCGCUCCAGCACCAGCAUUAAUGAACAUAUGUGUGAUGUGUCAGUGACUGUUGCAGGUCCAUGUGUCUGGCGGUCGAUCCAGCAUUAAUGAACAUAUGUGUGAUGUGUCAGUGACUGUUGCAGGUCCAUGUGUCUGGCGGUCGAUCCAGCAUUAAUGAACAUAUGUGUGAUGUGUCAGUGACUGUUGCAGGUCCAUGUGUCUGGCGGUCGAUCCAGCAUUAAUGAACAUAUGUGUGAUGUGUCAGUGACUGUUGCAGGUCCAUGUGUCUGGCAGUCGCUCCAGCACCAGCAUUAAUGAACGUGUGUGUGAUGUGUCAGUGACUGUUGCACGCCCAUGUGUCUGGCAGUCGCUCCAGCACCAGCGUUAAUGAACGUGUGUGUGAUGUGUCAGUGACUGUUGCACGCCCAUGUGUCUAGCAGUCGCUCCAGCACCAGCAUUAAUGAACAUAUGUGUGAUGUGUCAGUGACUGUUGCAGGUCCAUGUGUCUGGCGGUCGAUCCAGCAUUAAUGAACAUAUGUGUGAUGUGUCAGUGACUGUUGCAGGUCCAUGUGUCUGGCGGUCGAUCCAGCAUUAAUGAACAUAUGUGUGAUGUGUCAGUGACUGUUGCAGGUCCAUGUGUCUGGCGGUCGAUCCAGCAUUAAUGAACAUAUGUGUGAUGUGUCAGUGACUGUUGCAGGUCCAUGUGUCUGGCAGUCGCUCCAGCACCAGCAUUAAUGAACGUGUGUGUGAUGUGUCAGUGACUGUUGCAGGUCCAUGUGUCUGGCGGUCAAUCCAGCACCAGCAUUAAUGAACGUGUGUGUGAUGUGUCAGUGACUGUUGCACGCCCAUGUGUCUGGCAGUCGCUCCAGCACCAGCGUUAAUGAACGUGUGUGUGAUAUGUCAGUGACUGUUGCAGGUCCAUGUGUCUGGCAGUCGCUCCAGCACCAG